This 467-nucleotide ribosomal RNA is filed under the name Delftia acidovorans. RNAcentral describes it as "bacterial SSU rRNA". It matches the Rfam family "Bacterial small subunit ribosomal RNA", at positions 30 to 492 of the family's 1533-position model. Lineage: Bacteria; Pseudomonadati; Pseudomonadota; Betaproteobacteria; Burkholderiales; Comamonadaceae. The record is from RNAcentral.
AUUGAACGCUGGCGGCAUGCCUUACACAUGCAAGUCGAACGGUAACAGGUCUUCGGACGCUGACGAGUGGCGAACGGGUGAGUAAUACAUCGGAACGUGCCCAGUCGUGGGGGAUAACUACUSGAAAGAGUAGCUAAUACCGCAUACGAUCUGAGGAUGAAAGCGGGGGACCUUCGGGCCUCGCGCGAUUGGAGCGGCCGAUGGCAGAUUAGGUAGUUGGUGGGAUAAAAGCUUACCAASCCGACGAUCUGUAGCUGGUCUGAGAGGACGACCAGCCACACUGGGACUGAGACACGGCCCAGACUCCUACGGGAGGCAGCAGUGGGGAAUUUUGGACAAUGGGCGAAAGCCUGAUCCAGCAAUGCCGCGUGCAGGAUGAAGGCCUUCGGGUUGUAAACUGCUUUUGUACGGAACGAAAAAGCUCCUUCUAAUACAGGGGGCCCAUGACGGUACCGUAAGAAUAAGCA